GUGACAGCCCCGUACACAAAAAUGCACAUACUGUGAGCUCGAUGAGUAGGGCGGGACACGUGGUAUCCUGUCUGAAUAUGGGGGGACCAUCCUCCAAGGCUAAAUACUCCUGACUGACCGAUAGUGAACCAGUACCGUGAGGGAAAGGCGAAAAGAACCCCGGCGAGGGGAGUGAAAAAGAACCUGAAACCGUGUACGUACAAGCAGUGGGAGCACGCUUAGGCGUGUGACUGCGUACCUUUUGUAUAAUGGGUCAGCGACUUAUAUUCUGUAGCAAGGUUAACCGAAUAGGGGAGCCGAAGGGAAACCGAGUCUUAACUGGGCGUUAAGUUGCAGGGUAUAGACCCGAAACCCGGUGAUCUAGCCAUGGGCAGGUUGAAGGUUGGGUAACACUAACUGGAGGACCGAACCGACUAAUGUUGAAAAAUUAGCGGAUGACUUGUGGCUGGGGGUGAAAGGCCAAUCAAACCGGGAGAUAGCUGGUUCUCCCCGAAAGCUAUUUAGGUAGCGCCUCGUGAAUUCAUCUCCGGGGGUAGAGCACUGUUUCGGCAAGGGGGUCAUCCCGACUUACCAACCCGAUGCAAACUGCGAAUACCGGAGAAUGUUAUCACGGGAGACACACGGCGGGUGCUAACGUCCGUCGUGAAGAGGGAAACAACCCAGACCGCCAGCUAAGGUCCCAAAGUCAUGGUUAAGUGGGAAACGAUGUGGGAAGGCCCAGACAGCCAGGAUGUUGGCUUAGAAGCAGCCAUCAUUUAAAGAAAGCGUAAUAGCUCACUGGUCGAGUCGGCCUGCGCGGAAGAUGUAACGGGGCUAAAC
This 819-nucleotide ribosomal RNA is filed under the name Shigella flexneri. RNAcentral's name for it is "partial 23S ribosomal RNA". It matches the Rfam family "Bacterial large subunit ribosomal RNA", at positions 364 to 1187 of the family's 2925-position model. The record is from RNAcentral. Lineage: Bacteria; Pseudomonadati; Pseudomonadota; Gammaproteobacteria; Enterobacterales; Enterobacteriaceae.